RNAcentral lists this ribosomal RNA (305 nucleotides) under uncultured bacterium. RNAcentral describes it as "bacterial SSU rRNA". It matches the Rfam family "Bacterial small subunit ribosomal RNA", at positions 333 to 655 of the family's 1533-position model. The record is from RNAcentral.
CAAAGCCUACGGGGGGCAGCAGUGGGGAAUAUUGCACAAUGGGGGAAACCCUGAUGCAGCGACGCCGCGUGAAGGAAGAAGUAUUUCGGUAUGUAAACUUCUAUCAGCAGGGAAGAAAAUGACGGUACCUGAAGAAGAAGCCCCGGCUAACUACGUGCCAGCAGCCGCGGUAAUACGUAGGGGGCAAGCGUUAUCCGGAUUUACUGGGUGUAAAGGGGGCGCAGACGGCGAUGCAAGCCAGGAGUGAAAGCCCGGGGCCCAACCCCGGGACUGCUCUUGGAACUGCGUGGCUAGAGUGCAGGAGG